GGCAGCCAAGUCGUGAGGCGGAGCUAAUCCCUUAAAGCCAUUCUCAGUUCGGAUUGUAGGCUGAAACUCGCCUACAUGAAGCUGGAGUUACUAGUAAUCGCAGAUCAGAAUGCUGCGGUGAAUGCGUUCCCGGGUCUUGUACACACCGCCCGUCACACCACGGAAGUUGGGGGCGCCCGAAGCCACUUAGCUAACCCUUUUGGGAAGCGAGUGUCGAAGGUGAAAUCAAUAACUGGGGUGAAGUCGUAACAAGGUAGC
RNAcentral lists this ribosomal RNA (258 nucleotides) under uncultured bacterium. Its description in RNAcentral is "partial 16S ribosomal RNA". It matches the Rfam family "Bacterial small subunit ribosomal RNA", at positions 1245 to 1500 of the family's 1533-position model. The record is from RNAcentral.